RNAcentral lists this ribosomal RNA (468 nucleotides) under uncultured bacterium. Its description in RNAcentral is "partial 16S ribosomal RNA". It matches the Rfam family "Bacterial small subunit ribosomal RNA", at positions 28 to 507 of the family's 1533-position model. The record is from RNAcentral.
GACGAACGCUGGCGGCGUGCUUAACACAUGCAAGUCGAACGGAAAGGCCCUGCUUUUGUGGGUUUCUCGAUUGGCGAACGGGUGAGUAACACGUGAGUAACCUGCCCUUGACUUUCUGAGAACUUCAGGAAACUGGGGCGAUUACCGGAGAGAAGCUCCUGCUGCAUGGUGGGGGUUGGAAAGUGUGGGCGGUUGGGGAUGGACUCGCGGCUUAUCAGCUUGUUUGUGUGGUAGUUGCUUACCAAGGCUUUGACGGGUAGCCGGCCUGAGAGCGUGACCGGCGACAUUGGGACUGAGAUAGGCAGCAGACUCCUACGGGAGGCAGUAGUGGGGAAUCUUGCGCAAUGGGCGGGCGCCUGAUGCAGAAAUGUCCCGUGCGGGAUGCCGGGUUUCGGGUUGUAAACCGCUUUGGAAUGUACCGAAGCGUGAGUGACGGUAAUGGGUAAAGAAGCAACGGCUAACUACGUG